Molecule: ribosomal RNA, 484 nt
Filed under: uncultured bacterium
Lineage: Bacteria
Description: partial 16S ribosomal RNA
Rfam family: Bacterial small subunit ribosomal RNA
Source: RNAcentral
AUUGAACGCUGGCGGCAGGCCUAACACAUGCAAGUCGAGCGGAUGAAGGGAGCUUGCUCCUGGAUUCAGCGGCGGACGGGUGAGUAAUGCCUAGGAAUCUGCCUUGUAGUGGGGGAUAACGUCCGGAAACGGGCGCUAAUACCGCAUACGUCCUGAGGUAGAAAGUGGGGGAUCUUCGGUCCUCACGCUAUCUGAUGAGCCUAGGUCGGAUUAGCUAGUUGGUGGGGUAAAGGCCUACCAAGGCGACGAUCCGUAACUGGUCUGAGAGGAUGAUCAGUCACACUGGAACUGAGACACGGUCCAGACUCCUACGGGAGGCAGCAGUGGGGAAUAUUGGACAAUGGGCGAAAGCCUGAUCCAGCCAUGCCGCGUGUGUGAAGAAGGUCUUCGGAUUGUAAAGCACUUUAAGUUGGGAGGAAGGGCAGUAAGUUAAUACCUUGCUGUUUUGACGUUACCAACAGAAUAAGCACCGGCUAACUUCGUG